Molecule: long non-coding RNA, 411 nt
Organism: Spinacia oleracea (spinach)
Lineage: Eukaryota; Viridiplantae; Streptophyta; Magnoliopsida; Caryophyllales; Amaranthaceae
Exons: 3
Source: RefSeq, a predicted model, not a curated record
CCAAACAGAUAAGCUAGAUCUCUUCACAUCUCGUCGUACUUCACAUCUCUUCCAACGCAUACCUAUCCUCACCGCGCGACUCCACCACCACCAUAACCACCACCACCACCUUCCUCACCGCGCGGCUCCACCACCACCAUCUGAAGGAGAGUUUCCCCACCGUCGUCUUUCCUACCUUCGCGCGACUCCAUCUGUUUCACACAAUCGAUUUGUGAAGCUAGACUACUAAAGAGACUUAAUUACCCAGGAGCGACUGAAUUUGGGGUGGAUUUGUCUCAGGCCAACAUCUCAAUUCAACUUGAUGUUGGGAAGGGAGGAAAUAGUGGCUCAAAUGCUAUAGCACCCGUUGUAGAGAAAUGAGUCGUCGUUGGAUGUACGGUGACCAUACUACGGUGGAAUACUUGAGUGGGG